RNAcentral lists this ribosomal RNA (433 nucleotides) under uncultured bacterium. RNAcentral's name for it is "partial 16S ribosomal RNA". It matches the Rfam family "Bacterial small subunit ribosomal RNA", at positions 29 to 507 of the family's 1533-position model. The record is from RNAcentral.
AACGAACGCUGGCGGCAUGCCUAACACAUGCAAGUCGAACGAGACCUUCGGGUCUAGUGGCGCACGGGUGCGUAACGCGUGGGAACCUGCCCUUAGGUUCGGAAUAACUCCCCGAAAGGGGUGCUAAUACCGGAUAAUGUCUUCGGACCAAAGAUUUAUCGCCUUGGGAUGGGCCCGCGUUGGAUUAGCUAGUUGGUAGGGUAAAAGCCUACCAAGGCGACGAUCCAUAGCUGGUCUGAGAGGAUGAUCAGCCACACUGGGACUGAGACACGGCCCAGACUCCUACGGGAGGGAGCGGUGGGGAAUAUUGGACGAUGGGCGAAAGCCUGAUCCAGCAAUGCCGCGUGAGUGAUGAAGGCCUUAGGGUUGUAAAGCUCUUUUACCCGGGAUGAUAAUGACAGUACCGGGAGAAUAAGCUCCGGCUAACUCCGUG